CUGUGAGACAUGCAGAGCUGUGAGACACGCAGAGCUGUGAGACACGCAGAGCUGUGAGACACGCAGAGCUGUGAGAUACACAGAGUGGUGAGACACGCAGAGCGGUGAGACAUGCAGAGCUGUGAGAUACACAGAGCGGUGGAGUUGUGAGCCAACAGGAGUUACGCCCAAGUUGACCGAACCUACACAGAGGUUAACCUGACAUGUGUGACACGACGCGUGAGUGAAGGACACCCACGCACUCAGAAAGCAGAACACAGCCAAUUAUCUCCCAUCUGUGUUUGCGGAGGCAUUUCCAUCCAUUCUAAAUACAGCUCCAUGUCACUGUUGCCAGAGAAGAGGAACAAGGAGUGGGCUCUUAAUCAGGAGGCGUGCAUACCAUCCAACGCUUCCACGGAAUAUUACUCACAAACGUUCAGGCCCUGGACAAGAAAAUAGAUGAGCUCAGGGCGAGGAUCUCCUUACAGAGAGACAUCAGGGAUUGUAAUAUACUCUAUUUGAUGGAAUCAUGGUUCUCUCCAGAUAUACUGUCCCCGUUCAUUCAGCCGCCGGGAAAAAUAAAUGUGGAGGUGUAUGUUUCCAGUGGCGCUGAGUGAGUAAAAUCACUGGGGAAGCCAAUCCCCCCCAAAAUGCCAUAUUACCACCUAUGUGUUGUGAUGAUUGCAUUGUUUGCUCUAUUUUAGUUCAUAUGUCAUGCGACCGUGAUAUAUAUAGGCCAAAGGUUGAGACAACAAGAAUACAGUGGCAGAAUAAAUUAAACCACACCGUUGUUUUAUCACAAAACUGGAGAGCAACCUCUGUCCAGUGAAGUCCAUAUUGCAUGUACAGUAACAAACAGUUGCAUGACCAACCGCAUGGUCAAGCAAGUUAAUGUUUCUGACAUUUUCUGAAUUAUUAUAAUUUUUUGGGCAAUUCUGGGGGGGAAGUCUGGUUCAUGUUCACCCCCCCCCCCCCCCCAACCAACCAGACACCACGACAGCUCUCAAGUAACCACAGUGAACUUUGUGCGAGUUGGAAACUACAUAUCCUGAGGUCGCAUUUUUUGUAGCUUGGGACUUUAAUAAAGGAAAUCUGAGGAAAAGUUUUAUCAACACAUCUUCUGUGCUACUUCCCCUUCUGGGACGGCUACAAGGCCUUCCCCUGCUCUCCUUUCGUCAAAUUGGAUCAUGCCUCCAUUUUGCUACUGCCCUCCUGUAGGCAGAGUCUUAAACAGGAAGUACCCGUGGUACGGACUGUUCAACAAUGGUCUGACCAAUCAGAAUCUAUGUUUUAAGAUUGUUUUGAUGACGCGGGCUGUGACUAUUGGAACUUCUCGAAACGUAAAUACACUACAUUACCAAAAUUAUGUGGACACCUGUUAGUCGAACAUCUCAUUUCAAAGUCAAAAGCAUGCUGCUAUAACAGCCUCCACUCUUCUGGGAAGGCUUUUCGCUGGAUGUUAG
Long non-coding RNA from Oncorhynchus gorbuscha (pink salmon), 1442 nucleotides. RefSeq lists it as uncharacterized. The record is from RefSeq and is a predicted model, not a curated record. Lineage: Eukaryota; Metazoa; Chordata; Actinopteri; Salmoniformes; Salmonidae. The transcript has 4 exons.